This 301-nucleotide ribosomal RNA is filed under the name uncultured bacterium. Its description in RNAcentral is "partial 16S ribosomal RNA". It matches the Rfam family "Bacterial small subunit ribosomal RNA", at positions 509 to 807 of the family's 1533-position model. The record is from RNAcentral.
CAGCCGCCACGGGAAUAUGUAGGUGGCAAGCGUUGUCCGGAAUUAUUGGGCGUAAAGGGCUCGCAGGCGGUUUCUUAAGUCUGAUGUGAAAGCCCCCGGCUCAACCGGGGAGGGUCAUUGGAAACUGUUAAACUUGAGUGCAGGAGAGAAAAGUGGAAUUCCUAGUGUAGCGGUGAAAUGCGUAGAGAUUAGGAGGAACACCAGUGGCGAAGGCGGCUUUUUGGCCUGUAACUGACACUGAGGCGCGAAAGCGUGGGGAGCAAACAGGAUUAGAUACCCCUGUAGUCCCUGUCUCUUAUAC